This is a non-coding RNA of Nothobranchius furzeri (turquoise killifish), 1085 nucleotides long. The record is from RefSeq and is a predicted model, not a curated record. NCBI's taxonomy places the organism in Eukaryota, Metazoa, Chordata, Actinopteri, Cyprinodontiformes, Nothobranchiidae.
GUAUCUGCACAAUUUAAGAAAAGAAAAUAAAACCUAUGGAUUUAGAUAAUGCUGAUUUAGGUAAUCUAACAAAUCUUUGUGCAGAUGAACAAGAAACUUAUCUAAGCUAACAGUGUUUAGCAUAUGGCUUCCUGAUCAGUUUGAAAAAGCUAAAAGCAACUAAGGAGUAAUCGGAUCACUUCUACGUUUUGUGGACGACACACUGCAUGUGUUUGGAGAUAAAUGGAUGCUCCGUUUAUUCUGACGAGAAAAGUAAACAGAGCUUGAUUUGAUUAUAUGAUGUCACCGAGUCGGAGAGAGCUAGCGUGCGGUAGCAUUUUAGCUGUGAUCACGCUUCAGUUUCUAUGUACCACAGAAGAGAAUGGACAUUUUCCAAACCAAAGACGAGUCUUUAGAAUUAUGUCAUAUUUGAUCUGCAGUCCAACCUCUAAGCAGGACUGUUACUUCAGUAGAUAAUGUUAUUCGUGGGGUUUGUGUAACAGAACCCCAUCGGAAUAUCUUUUCCUAGCACUAUUGCUGUGCUACAAAAGAGUAUAUAAUGAGUCAGCCAUAACUACAUGUUUUACUAAAAGUAAAGUUGUGCAGAAGUUUGUGUUUAUUUUUCUAAAUUUGUCCUGUUGAAUGUAGGUCAGAAUAAAAUAUGUUUGUGAAAAUGAUAAAUAAUUUUUUUUUAUAACUGACCUGCAUUUUCAUAUUACCAGUUGUGCCACAGGUAAAGAAGCUUAGCCAUUAUUGAUCUAUGUAAACAGAAGGUGUAGAGUCUCAACCAACUUGUUGACAAUUUUGUUUAAAAAUGUGUUUUCCAGCUACCGGAAGAAGCAGGCUCCUGAAACUGCAAUUCAGGGAGGUUAUGUGCAGUCAACCUCGACACCCAGUAAGAGAACAGCAGCUAAAAUGUCGCAUCGAUUAUCUCCAACUGAACCUGUGUCUGAGGGGGAAGAUUUUCUAAUGGCUGGUGUUGAGGCCUUAGCUGAUGACCUAGAUUUGGAUCCUUUUGAAGAAAGUUUCAAAUCCAUGGAUCUAGCUACGGAUGCAGUCCAAAUUGAUGAGGACCAAGCAAACAACUAACUCAACUGUGUGUGACU